Long non-coding RNA from Anopheles merus, 688 nucleotides. RefSeq lists it as uncharacterized. The record is from RefSeq and is a predicted model, not a curated record. The transcript has 3 exons. Lineage: Eukaryota; Metazoa; Arthropoda; Insecta; Diptera; Culicidae.
AGUAAAAACAUUUUCUCCUCAUCGAGCCGCCAUUGUGUUGUGGUUUGAGGAGAACAUUGGAUCAUCAACGAAUUGUUUACAUUUGUAAAACGUGCAUUCAGUGUCCGCGGGCUACAUUUAUCGAUUCUUUUGUGGAAAUAGCAUAUCAAAUAUCCCGAAUCCGUUAAAUUAUAGUGAAAUACUGCACAUGACACACGAUGCGUUGAAGGAAACGUAAAACCAUGUGUGGGAAGAUGAUGAAUAACUGCCCGGGCCAAUCAUUCAAGUACUGCCGCUAGGUUGAAGUGAUAAACAACAAAUGAAGCAGCGCUAGAAGAUGAAGAUGAUGAUACCCAGUUAUGCUAAGGCCAAUAUCCGCUUGAAGACUCCCAUAGUGAAAAGGAAGUGCAUACGGAUCUUGAAUACGUAGAUAGACUGCGAAUCGAAUCGAAGUCGAGCCAAAUGCUCACAUCAUGGUAGCAGAUAUGAACUGUAAUUUAGCAAUGCUCGACCUCGCGUGUCCAUUGAUGAUAGAACUUAACUAUAUUGAAGAAAACAAUUCAGGAUUACAUGUUGGACCAUCAUCGCUGUUUCUGAGGCACAAAUAUGUAUCAAACGUCUUGGAUGUAUGAAUACGUGCAUCGUGCUAUCAGGUCAAUGCUCCGCAGAAAAGACUGACUAUUCGGCUACGUGAUACGGAACAAGUCUC